Long non-coding RNA from Homarus americanus (American lobster), 1933 nucleotides. RefSeq lists it as uncharacterized. The record is from RefSeq and is a predicted model, not a curated record. The transcript has 2 exons. NCBI's taxonomy places the organism in Eukaryota, Metazoa, Arthropoda, Malacostraca, Decapoda, Nephropidae.
UCAACAUUUUCACACAUGAAACACAUCAAAUCCAAAUACCAAUCAACAAUUUCAGAUGAACACCCUGGAUGCUUGCUUGAAGCUAGCAGUCACCACCUACAGUCCUAAUUACACAAAGCUGGCAGACUACAUGCAGUGCUAACCAUCUCAUUGGUAGUAAAAGAAGAAAAAGAACAAACCCCCGGACCCUCAAUAGCUAGGUUUACGGCUAUUCAUUCCAACGAGGAAUCCAUGUUUAGGCCCGUUCAAGAGAAAGAGGAUUCUCUAACCAUCGUGCUGACUGAGGAUAUACAGGAACAUGACAUAACAGUAACCAUUGUGCUUUUACAACCUGAAACUUCAUCACAUCAAAACAUUCAGGAGUCUUCAUCGUCCAGAACAUCUGUUGCAGAAAGAUGUAGCUCAAGCAAGACUCGUAAACCUCUUGCUGCUACCACAGAACAGAGAUGUAGGUCUCAUACCCCUUCUGCCAUAGCUGAUGAUAACCAGACUAGGUCAACUGUAACUGGUGAUCCCACUCAUGAACUGGGUUCACUCAAUACCAAGUACAAGUAAUAGUAGGAGCAGACGUGGCAGCAGGCCACGAUCCCCUUCUGCCUAAAAGAUGCAAAUCUUAUUCCAGAGGUGCUUCAUGUUCCUGUCACAAAUGAGGGACAGUUUGGUAGAGCUUGUUAAUUCUGUUCAGGAAAGUGCCACCAAAAUUUCAUCAAACAUGGUUAAACUUGUAGCUAACAACGAGUGCAUUGCAUCUGCACUGUAAAACAUUGCAAAAGCUGUGCAGUCAAAAAAUCCUACCCCAUGAUGCUGUGUUUAGGGUAUGGGUAUGUGUUGUUUACUUCUAGAAGUCCUUUACUUUUGAUCAAUGUGAUAAUAGCGUAUUUGAAAAGUCAUCAAACACUUAUUAAAUUUUUUUCUUUGAGUGAUUGUUAUGAAAGAAGACAGGGCAUGUUAAAUAAUUGUGUAACUUUCACCCUCUACUAGUCAUGAGAAUUUAACAUGAAUAUUAACCUCUCCAUAAGUGAGUUAAAAUCACAAAGUUAAGUGAAAGACACAAAAUUGUUAACUAAUAACAUGUGUUGCAGUGAUCCUACGGAUAAUGUUUACCCAGGUUUUGGGUAAAAGUUCAUACUGUAAUAAAAUGUAUAGCUUUAAAACCAGAGUCAUGUACUUACUUUAAUUUUUUUAAAGGUUCCUUUAUUUGGUAAUACGUAGUUAAUUUCCAGUUCAACCUGCUUUAGUGAUUAGUGAUUAUUUUAUGAUUAUGAAUCAAGUAGGUUGAAACUGAAAUAAUGUUGGAAGUUCACCAACAGACUACUGUAAUCACUGCUAUUUACCACACAUAUGAACUUCUCCAUAGAGCUCAGUUGUUGCAUUGGUUCUUUCUGAAGGAUGUGCAGCCUCAUGCUAAAUUGUAUAGCUUAACACGCCAAGAGUUUGCUAUUUUGUUUUCUUUAUUACAUAUAGUAGUACAGUAUUUGGUUAUAAGUUUAUUUUAAUAUAAGGGGAUUUAUGCAGGUACAGUCGAUUCAUGAGAGUUCCUUGAGUAAUUUUACAUAUGAAAAUUGUACUGUAUUCCAUUUUUAAAUCCUAAAAAUGGCAACAAUUUCCAGUACUGCAGUUGUAUUAAUUUUUCACAAGGAUGUGGUGACCCAUGUCAAAUUGUGUAGUUUAAGAAGCAAAUAGUUUUGAUAUUUUUUUAUUGUUUCAAGUUGUCAAAUAUGUUUUAUAUAAUGAUGUUUAGUAGUAUUAAAAGUACUGUAUACUGUAUUGGAUUCAAAUUUGCUCAAUGAUAUACUGUAGUACAUACUGUAUUUUCCUAUAUAAAAUGUUUAUCAUAUGAAGGUAAAAGAUAGCCAAUUAUGUUCUUUGUUUUCUAUAAAGAAAUUUAUUUUAUUAUGAACAGUAUAUUGAAAAUAAAAGUUAAGUCAAUGUA